GAUGAACGCUGGCGGCGUGCCUAAUACAUGCAAGUCGAGCGAACGGACGAGAAGCUUGCUUCUCUGAUGUUAGCGGCGGACGGGUGAGUAACACGUGGAUAACCUACCUAUAAGGCUGGGAUAACUUCGGGAAACCGGAGCUAAUACCGGAUAAUAUUUUGAACCGCAUGGUUCAAAAGUGAAAGACGGUCUUGCUGUCACUUAUAGAUGGAUCCGCGCUGCAUUAGCUAGUUGGUAAGGUAACGGCUUACCAAGGCAACGAUGCAUAGCCGACCUGAGAGGGUGAUCGGCCCCACUGGAACUGAGACACGGUCCAGACUCCUACGGGAGGCAGCAGUAGGGAAUCUUCCGCAAUGGGCGAAAGCCUGACGGAGCAACGCCGCGUGAGUGAUGAAGGUCUUCGGAUCGUAAAACUCUGUUAUUAGGGAAGAACAUAUGUGUAAGUAACUGUGCACAUCUUGACGGUACCUAAUCAGAAAGCCACGGCUAACUACGUG
Molecule: ribosomal RNA, 497 nt
Filed under: uncultured bacterium
Lineage: Bacteria
Description: partial 16S ribosomal RNA
Rfam family: Bacterial small subunit ribosomal RNA
Source: RNAcentral